CGGCCGGGGUCCUCCGUCUACUGCAGUCGACGAUGAACCACUUCGGUGGGGAUUAGUGGCGAACGGGUGAGUAACACGUGGGCAAUCUGCCCUGCACUCUGGGACAAGCCCUGGAAACGGGGUCUAAUACCGGAUACUGACCCGCUUGGGCAUCCAAGCGGUUCGAAAGCUCCGGCGGUGCAGGAUGAGCCCGCGGCCUAUCAGCUUGUUGGUGAGGUAAUGGCUCACCAAGGCGACGACGGGUAGCCGGCCUGAGAGGGCGACCGGCCACACUGGGACUGAGACACGGCCCAGACUCCUACGGGAGGCAGCAGUGGGGAAUAUUGCACAAUGGGCGAAAGCCUGAUGCAGCGACGCCGCGUGAGGGAUGACGGCCUUCGGGUUGUAAACCUCUUUCAGCAGGGAAGAAGCGAAAGUGACGGUACCUGCAGAAGAAGCGCCGGCUAACUACGUGCCAGCAGCCGCGGUAAUACGUAGGGCGCGAGCGUUGUCCGGAAUUAUUGGGCGUAAAGAGCUCGUAGGCGGCUUGUCGCGUCGGUUGUGAAAGCCCGGGGCUUAACCCCGGGUCUGCAGUCGAUACGGGCAGGCUAGAGUUCGGUAGGGGAGAUCGGAAUUCCUGGUGUAGCGGUGAAAUGCGCAGAUAUCAGGAGGAACACCGGUGGCGAAGGCGGAUCUCUGGGCCGAUACUGACGCUGAGGAGCGAAAGCGUGGGGAGCGAACAGGAUUAGAUACCCUGGUAGUCCACGCCGUAAACGGUGGGCACUAGGUGUGGGCGACAUUCCACGUCGUCCGUGCCGCAG
This 800-nucleotide ribosomal RNA is filed under the name Streptomyces longispororuber. RNAcentral describes it as "bacterial SSU rRNA". It matches the Rfam family "Bacterial small subunit ribosomal RNA", at positions 40 to 851 of the family's 1533-position model. Lineage: Bacteria; Bacillati; Actinomycetota; Actinomycetes; Kitasatosporales; Streptomycetaceae. The record is from RNAcentral.